RNAcentral lists this ribosomal RNA (468 nucleotides) under uncultured bacterium. RNAcentral describes it as "partial 16S ribosomal RNA". It matches the Rfam family "Bacterial small subunit ribosomal RNA", at positions 28 to 507 of the family's 1533-position model. The record is from RNAcentral.
GACGAACGCUGGCGGCGUGCUUAACACAUGCAAGUCGAACGGAAAGGCCCUGCUUUUGUGGGGUGCUCGAGUGGCGAACGGGUGAGUAACACGUGAGUAACCUGCCCUUGACUUUGGGAUAACUUCAGGAAACUGGGGCUAAUACCGGAUAGGAGCUCCUGCUGCAUGGUGGGGGUUGGAAAGUUUCGGCGGUAGGGGAUGGACUCGCGGCUUAUCAGCUUGUUGGUGGGGUAGUGGCUUACCAAGGCUUUGACGGGUAGCCGGCCUGAGAGGGUGACCGGCGACAAUGGGACUGAGAGACGGCCCAGACUCCUACGGGAGGCAGCAGUGGGGAAUAUUGCACAAUGGGCGGAAGCCUGAUGCGGCGACGCCGCGUGCGGGAUGACGGCCUUCGGGUUGUAAACCGCUUUCGCCUGUGACGAAGCGUGAGUGACGGUAAUGGGUGAAGAAGCACCGGCUAACUACGUG